This 21-nucleotide non-coding RNA is filed under the name Caenorhabditis elegans. Lineage: Eukaryota; Metazoa; Nematoda; Chromadorea; Rhabditida; Rhabditidae. The record is from RNAcentral.
UCUUAUACAAUUAUGAAAACA